UACGGAGGAUGCAAGCGUUAUCCGGAAUGAUUGGGCGUAAAGCGUCCGCAGGUGGCUAUGUAAGUCUGCUGUUAAAGAGUGAGGCUCAACCUCAUAAGAGCAGUGGAGACUACAUGGCUAGAGUGCGUUCGGGGCAGAGGGAAUUCCUGGUGUAGCGGUGAAAUGCGUAGAGAUCAGGAAGAACACCGGUGGCGAAAGCGCUCUGCUAGGCCGCAACUGACACUCAUGGACGAAAGCUAGGGGAGCGAAUGGG
Molecule: ribosomal RNA, 253 nt
Filed under: uncultured bacterium
Lineage: Bacteria
Description: partial 16S ribosomal RNA
Rfam family: Bacterial small subunit ribosomal RNA
Source: RNAcentral